GAUCUGCCUGUUUAAUAAAUUACGGUAAGAAAAAAAAUAAAAACACAUUCAAAAAAGCUUUACCGUCUAUUAUUGUUUUAGUUGUUUCAUUGAUUCAAAGCAUGGUGUAAAAACGCUUUAAAGGCACAUCUUAUCGUCAGAGUCUUUCAGAGAGAAUCUUCUUGGGAAGUAUUUGUCUAUUUAAAUGAGGAGGAGCUUGUUGCCAUGGUGACGCGUCGAUACACGGAAGGGUCCUUUGAAUCUUCUCGAAUCUGAAGAAGUUACACUCACGACUCUUGAUUGAUUGAUUGACGGACAGACAGCCGUCGCCAUGACAGCAGGAGCAGUGUCAGUGCCACUCAUCAUUCCCAUGAUGCACCUGACACACAGAGCCAAGAACCACAUUGACACCAACAUACCUGUGUCCAUCGAGUCAGACACCCCUGAGGUUCUGAUCUUCUUCACUCUGGACGGGUCGAAGCCGGCGUGGCCUCAGGGGUCAGCGGGGUCAGCGGGCGGCAGCAGGAAGUACAGCGGGCCGAUCCGGCUG
This is a long non-coding RNA of Pseudoliparis swirei, 529 nucleotides long. RefSeq lists it as uncharacterized. The record is from RefSeq and is a predicted model, not a curated record. The transcript is spliced from 3 exons. Lineage: Eukaryota; Metazoa; Chordata; Actinopteri; Perciformes; Liparidae.